UUCAAAAACAAAGGUAAAUAGAAGGGGCAAGAAUGGAAGAGGGCAUACAGGACUUGCUCAGGACUGUUUGCUUUUGCCCACGGAAACUGCAGUGGCCUCGAGAAGCAGUUGAGUGGGUUGUAUAACCCUCAGCUGCUUCGGUCUCAACAGGGAAAAUACUGUCCUGGGUCUUACUUCCUGGAAAUGAAACAUGUUGCCUAGAGGUGGAGCACCCAUUCAGUGAGCCUGUGACGAAGGCCAUCUACCAAGAACAGGAGAAAGCUAGAAGGAGCCCAUAUCUCUGACUGCCCUCGACAGCCCACACAAGAACUCACGCUGGAAAAAGAAAGCCCUGUUUCAGUAAGCUCAUGCCUGCUUUUCCUGGAACCAGGAGGACUCCCACCCAGGUCCAUUCAAGUUGUGACACUGCUUGGCUUACUAAACUAUAAACAUUGAAAGGAAUGCUGGGACCUCCAAAAUCUGCAAUUACAUUUCUCGUAAAUGGCAACUCAUUGUCAUCCUGCGGACAUGGAUUAAACCACAGGACGGGGUCUGAACCGGGAACACUUGCAGGUUAACAGCAACAACAUCCAUCCCAACAGAAUCACCCCCAUCGCAGUGAGCAAUGAGCAAAAACAUGGCUCAGAAACUGUUUCCCCAGAUGUUCAAUAAAGGAUAUUUAAAUGAGACAUUUACCAUCUGGUUAAUAACACAGCAUUGAGUGGGACUUGGUAACAAUAUCCCAAUACGUAAGCUUUUAAAAUCAGUUCUUUUCCCUGAGCAUAAAACUGCUUCUCCAUCUGCCCUAUGAAAACAAGCGAUAAAUAAAUGUUUG
Long non-coding RNA from Cercocebus atys (sooty mangabey), 814 nucleotides. RefSeq lists it as uncharacterized. The transcript is spliced from 4 exons. The record is from RefSeq and is a predicted model, not a curated record. Lineage: Eukaryota; Metazoa; Chordata; Mammalia; Primates; Cercopithecidae.